RNAcentral lists this unclassified non-coding RNA (209 nucleotides) under soil metagenome. Its description in RNAcentral is "partial contains 5.8S ribosomal RNA, internal transcribed spacer 2, and large subunit ribosomal RNA". The record is from RNAcentral.
AACCUAGCACACCUGCGGUGUGUACCUGCGGAGGGAUCAUUACCGAGUUUACAACUCCCAAACCCCUGUGAACAUACCUAUACGUUGCCUCGGCGGAUCAGCCCGCGCCCUGUAAAAAGGGACGGCCCGCCCGAGGACCCUAAACUCUGUUUUUAGUGGAACUUCUGAGUAAAACAAACAAAUAAAUCAAAACUUUCAACAAUGGAUCU